UACGAACCGUCCAAACGUUAUUCGGAAUUACUGGGCUUAAAGGGUUUGUAGGCGGCCUUGUAAGUGGGGUGUGAAAUCCCUCGGCUCAACCGAGGAAUGGCGCUCCAAACUACAAGGCUUGAGGGAGACAGGGGUAAGCGGAACUGAUGGUGGAGCGGUGAAAUGCGUUGAUAUCAUCAGGAACACCGGUGGCGAAGGCGGGUCUCUGGGCCGUAACUGACGCUGAGGAGCGAAAGCGUGGGUAGCAAACAGG
RNAcentral lists this ribosomal RNA (253 nucleotides) under uncultured bacterium. RNAcentral describes it as "partial 16S ribosomal RNA". It matches the Rfam family "Bacterial small subunit ribosomal RNA", at positions 524 to 776 of the family's 1533-position model. The record is from RNAcentral.